Molecule: unclassified non-coding RNA, 644 nt
Filed under: uncultured Prochlorococcus sp.
Lineage: Bacteria; Bacillati; Cyanobacteriota; Cyanophyceae; Synechococcales; Prochlorococcaceae
Description: partial 16S-23S ribosomal RNA intergenic spacer; may also contain 16S ribosomal RNA and 23S ribosomal RNA
Rfam family: tRNA (bases 304-376)
Source: RNAcentral
UUGUGGAGGAGGACGCCGAAAGUGGGGCUAAUGACUGGGGUGAAGUCGUAACAAGGUAGCCGUACCGGAAGGUGCGGCUGGAUCACCUCCUAACAGGGAGACAACAAAAUGUUUAAUAUUAUUAUUUUGUCACCUUAGGUCGAUCGGUAUCUCACGUUCUUAAUUUAUUAAGAAUUUCAUUUCCUAAGUUUUUCUAGGUCACACCCAUUAUUUUCCUGGGCCAUUAGCUCAGGUGGUUAGAGCGCACCCCUGAUAAGGGUGAGGUCCCUGGUUCAAGUCCAGGAUGGCCCAUAUCUCUAUGUUGGGGGUAUAGCUCAGUUGGUAGAGCGCCUGCUUUGCAAGCAGGAUGUCAGCGGUUCGAGUCCGCUUACCUCCACUGAUUACCACCUCUACCAUAAUUUGUAGAAAGGAAUGUUUUGAGUUGUGAUCAAAUUCUGAACGAAUCUAGCUUCCUAAUGAAAUCAUUAAGAUGCUGGACUCAUUGAAUUAAUUUCAUUGUUUUCAGAGAACCUUGACAACUGCAUAGAUUAUUUUUAAAGACAAUAAGCAUCUUUAAUGAUGCAGAUUUAUUAUUUGUGCUAAUGCAUUAAUAACAAUUCUAUUAAGCUGAUGCUUCAAUUUUGAAGUUAUUGGUCAAGCUACAA